Molecule: small RNA, 174 nt
Filed under: Corynebacterium maris
Lineage: Bacteria; Bacillati; Actinomycetota; Actinomycetes; Mycobacteriales; Corynebacteriaceae
Also listed under: 1 other name
Description: c-di-AMP sequence
Rfam family: c-di-AMP riboswitch aptamer (ydaO/yuaA leader)
About the family: This family represents a conserved RNA structure found upstream of the ydaO and yuaA genes in Bacillus subtilis and related genes in other bacteria. The ydaO/yuaA element is thought to act as a genetic "off" switch for the ydaO and yuaA genes in its native state. It is believed that the element may be triggered during osmotic shock leading to activation of ydaO, a predicted amino acid transporter gene, and members of the yuaA-yubG operon which code for KtrA and KtrB K+ transporters.
Source: RNAcentral
ACGGCAGAUCCGCCGGAUGCCCGCACGAGAGCCGGGGACCCAGACACACCCAGGGGUUCAUUCCGCGGACGGGGUGCACGAAGAUCGCGAGCGAUCGUCGGCACGGAGGACGCGGGAGGGAAAAUUCUGUUUCCUCACCCGACAGCUAACUCGGCAGACGCACAGAGAACUUGG